Molecule: small RNA, 3631 nt
Filed under: Pongo abelii (Sumatran orangutan)
Lineage: Eukaryota; Metazoa; Chordata; Mammalia; Primates; Hominidae
Description: retained intron
Source: RNAcentral
GGUCCAAGCAAACAUGAGGCAGCUGCCAGCCGGCCUGGGCAGUCUUGUCUGCCUCGGCUGUGAAGUGGGGAGGCUGGCAACAGUUUCCUUCAGCGCCCAGGAUGCAGCCGGCUAAGGAGGUGACAAAGGCGUCGGACGGCAGCCUCCUGGGGGACCUCGGGCACACACCACUUAGCAAGAAGGAGGGUAUCAAGUGGCAGAGGCCGAGGCUCAGCCGCCAGGCUUUGAUGAGAUGCUGCCUGGUCAAGUGGAUCCUGUCCAGCACAGCCCCACAGGGCUCAGGUAGGGGCCAGGGUGGGCUGUGGUCAAGGGUGGGGGUGGGGAGAUCUGUUCUGGCACUGUCCUUUCUGAGGGCUCAAAGGCCAGCCUGGGACCCCUGCCUGGGCCACAUCGCCCCUGUCUCUAUUGGAGGUGUGUUUUCAUUCAUUCACACCCUUCCCCAUUCAUUGAGUGCCUGCUUCACACAGGCCACUGAGCUCCUAGUGGGACCCACAGAGCAUGGGUACAGAGAGCUGGGACCACACUGGGGUUUUCCAGUUGGCUAGAAAGACAGAGCCAGGCUGCAGAGUCCAACAAACCAGGCUCCACCCUGCCCAUUGCUCACGCCCUGAGUAAGCCAGGCCACCUCAUUGAUCCUUUCUAAGCCCUCCGUGAGAAGGCAGGCUGGAACCUGUCCACAGGGCACAUUUGAAGUUGGUGAUCAGGAGGCCCCACCCUCAGCCCCUCCUUGGUCCUGUUCAGUGCACCCCAAGGAUUGGUACUGGCUCUUUGCCUUGGGCUGCAUUCUGGUGGUGUGUUAACGAGAGAACGGGCAGAAACCACUGCCCUGGGCUUGCCAUGGGUGAUAUUUGGUGUUUGCCGAGUAUGACAGGGCUGAACAGGCAAUGGCAGCCUCUGGCGGCUCCCACGAUCUCACACACACAUGCAGACACCUCACACUCACACCUAUGCACACACACCGGUGCCUCUACCACACAUGAGUUUGCACACUCACCAUGCACACAUAGGUAGGCAUACCAUACACACUUGCAUACUCACAUACACACACACCACAUGCAGGCACGCACACACCAUACACACUGGUGGGAUCACACACGUGAGUAUGGUGCGUAUAAGAGUCUGCCUCUGACUUUAAGGAAAAGGUGCAGACUUGCCCUUGACAGCUGCAUCUUGUUUGCUGUCUUGGACUCUCUCUAGCUGUGUGAUUUCCAGGGAGCCUUGGUCCCCUGGCCAGGAGAAUGGGCACGAUCAGGGUCCCAGCCUCCUAGGCUUGAUGGGAGUCAUGAGUGGAGGGGAUCAACUGAGGGGUCUGGGCAAACAGCAGGCACAGUGGCUGACAGCCACAGCCAGAGGUCCAUGCCUGUGCACAAAGGGACUGGCUGCUACGCACCAGAUCCCCAUCCUUUACCCACAAAUGCCACUCCAGGGUGCUCCCAGCACGAUUCCAGCCCCCUCCCUUUUGCCACCAGCACCUGUGCUUCCCCACACAGCCCCUACCCAUCUGUGAUGCUGUCACCUUGGCUGAGACUUGUCCCCAACCCCUUCCCACGGAAGCGCUAGCACCUGUGAAAGCAUGGGUGAGGUCCACAUGCACCCCCAACUUCUCGGGGACGGGGGUGGCAGGUUUUGCAGGUGGCAGAAACAUGAUGAGGUCAUUAAAAGCACAUGCACAUAGCUCAACCGGGAAGGACCGCCUUCAGGGCACUGUUCAUUCUGCAUCGGAAUGAAAAUGCGUCUGUUCUCCCUUAGGGUGGGGGCGAGAGCACGGUGGCCAUCGCAUGUGCUGCGGGCUCAGGUCCACUCUGACGGGCACAGCUUCAGGUAGCUCGAGACUCAGAUUUCCUCCACUUCAGUCUUCCAGGGUUUUCUUGGUGACAACAAGUAUUUAAGGGGUGCUGCAGUGGAAUCCUCCCUCCAUCCCUCAGGUCCUGCAGAUGCUCAGCCUCAUCCUGCCGUCUCUCUGACGGGCAGAGGUGGCUCAGGACAGGCUGGGGCUGGUGUGCAUCCUUUCCCGAAGCUUUCUGCACACCCGUGACAGCAGCAACUAUGCUGAGUGGGGUGGACGGGGAGAAAGGCGACAGUGGGGCCGGCAUGGUGUGUUCAAGUCAGGGCGAGGGGAAGCACCCCUGCACGGCCCACCCCUUCAUGCCCCAUCCCACCUCAGGGCAGCUUCCUAGAGGGCAGGGCCUUUCCACACCCAGCUGUCAGGACACGGUUGCUGAACAACUUGUCAAGGGCACACAGGAGACAGGGCCAGGGCAGGGCCAGGGCACCAGCGAUGGGUUUGUUCCCCUGCAUGGAUGUGUUUACCGGACCUUGUGCCGGGACUGGGAGCAGAUGUGAACGACAUAUCCAAGAGCCUACUUGAUUGUGCAAAGGAGGCAGUGUGGAGCUCAUCACCCUGAUUUACCAAAGCUUCCACGGCAGCUCAGAGAGGUCACAUGACUCAGCAGAUGGCACAAAAAGCAGGGGUUGGGGUGGGGGUGGCUCGGACCCAGAGCUCCACGGUGCCCACCCUGACCAGCAUCUUUGGUGGGAGCUGAGGGACGAGGGAGCCCAGGGACCUCACGGACAGAGGAGCUGGGACUCUGAUGUGCCCUUUGUCUCCCUUGGCCAUAGCUCCUGGGUCUCCUGUCUUCAGUCCAAACACGUCCCGUGUGUGUCCCGCAAGGAGGCCGGGCUGGUGUGGUCACACUGAGGGCUUUGUGCGCGUGUGAAGUGCUGUGCCGUGUGCAGAUGAGGCAUCCUCACUCUUUGGGAGCUGGCACAGGCUCUGGGUGCAAAGAACAAUGGGGCCCAUUCAGUGUAGCCCCACUGCGUGCUCUGCGAGGCCCAGCACGGUGUCCUGAGCCUUGGGGUCCUGUGGGAGGGGGGCGGCCCAGACACUGUGCCCUUGUACUGGGGUUUUUCCAUUCAGCAGAAGUGGGGCCAGAGACACAUGUUGGGAACAGCUGGGAGUGAAAGCCAAGGCCCAGCCUGGGAGUCCUGGAGGCUUGGGCGAGGUAGAACGUCGGCAAGGAGUGGACAGGACUCAGGGGACUGGAGACACUGGGCAAGGGCUGCAGCAUCUGUGGCUGGGCCCUGGGUGGCCACUUCUGGGUGUGAAGACCCCAGGAUGGAGUCAGGAGGUGGCCAGCAGCGGGGCCUAUAAGAGGGGAGACCAGGAGACUCAGAGCACAGGCAGCCUGGCCCCACCCUACCCAGGAGAGGCGCCCCAUCCUCAGCCUAGAAGCUCCUUGGGCCUAGAAGCUCCUCUUCCAUGACCUGGAAGCUGGGACUCUGGCCUGCCCUGCAUCUAAAGCCCCUCCCUGCAGGACGCCUCUCCAGAGGCAUGGCCAGUGCCACAACUGGACAGACCUGUUUCUCAAGUUUGGUGCCCACAAGGGCUGUGGGACUUGGGUUUCUUCAACUGGAAUAAUAAUGUCACCCACAAAUAACCUGGGGUCCCAGCUGCAGACAACUGAAACAGGGCGGGCUCCAGGCCUCAGGAAGUUCACGGAAACUCUGGAGGACUAGAGAACGAGGUCUGAAUGGGACGAAGCCAGGACCCCACCUACCGCCUCGGGAGAUGCCUGGCAUCCUGGACCACUCUGGCAGGAACGCUCUAGCAGCUGCUGCACGCUUCUGUGUG